UCUUUGCUUCUUGGCUUCCACAAAACU
Molecule: non-coding RNA, 27 nt
Filed under: Rattus norvegicus (Norway rat)
Lineage: Eukaryota; Metazoa; Chordata; Mammalia; Rodentia; Muridae
Source: RNAcentral